RNAcentral lists this ribosomal RNA (253 nucleotides) under uncultured bacterium. RNAcentral's name for it is "partial 16S ribosomal RNA". It matches the Rfam family "Bacterial small subunit ribosomal RNA", at positions 524 to 776 of the family's 1533-position model. The record is from RNAcentral.
UACAGAGGGUGCAAGCGUUAAUCGGAAUGACUGGGCGUAAAGAGUACGUAGGCGGACAGAUGUGUCAAAGGUGAAAUCCCCGGGCUUAACCUGGGAACUGCCUGUGAAACUAUCUGACUAGAAUAUAGGAGAGGGAAGUGGAAUUUCCGGUGUAGCGGUGAAAUGCGUAGAUAUCGGAAAGAACACCGGUGGCGAAGGCGACUUCCUGGCCUAAUAUUGACGCUGAGGUACGAAAGCGUGGGGAGCAAACAGG